CCUACGGGUGGCAGCAGUGAGGAAUAUUGGUCAAUGGACGAGAGUCUGAACCAGCCAAGUAGCGUGAAGGAUGACUGCCCUAUGGGUUGUAAACUUCUUUUAUAAAGGAAUAAAACGAGGCACGUGUGCCUUUUUGCAUGUACUUUAUGAAUAAGGAUCGGCUAACUCCGUGCCAGCAGCCGCGGUAAUACGGAGGAUCCGAGCGUUAUCCGGAUUUAUUGGGUUUAAAGGGAGCGUAGAUGGGUUGUUAAGUCAGUUGUGAAAGUUUGCGGCUCAACCGUAAAAUUGCAAGUGAUACUGGCAGUCGUGAGUACAGUUGAGGUAGGCGUAAUUCGUGGUGGAGCGGUGAAAUGCUUAGAUAUCACGAAGAACCCCGAUUGCGAAGGCAGCUUACUAAACUGUGACUGACAUUGAUGCUCGAAAGUGUGGGUAUCAAACAGGAUUAGAUACCCCAGUAGUC
This 460-nucleotide ribosomal RNA is filed under the name uncultured bacterium. RNAcentral's name for it is "partial 16S ribosomal RNA". It matches the Rfam family "Bacterial small subunit ribosomal RNA", at positions 338 to 795 of the family's 1533-position model. The record is from RNAcentral.